Molecule: ribosomal RNA, 294 nt
Filed under: unidentified marine eubacterium
Lineage: Bacteria
Description: partial 16S ribosomal RNA
Rfam family: Bacterial small subunit ribosomal RNA
Source: RNAcentral
GGGAGAGGCAAGCGUUAUCCGGAAUUAUUGGGCGUAAAGCGUCCGCAGGCGGUUAAUCAAGUCUGUUGUCAAAGCGUGGGGCUCAACCUCAUACAGGCAAUGGAAACUGAUUGACUAGAGUAUGGUAGGGGUAGCGGGAAUUCCAGGUGUAGCGGUGAAAUGCGUAGAUAUCUGGAAGAACACCAGCGGCGAAAGCGCGCUACUGGGCCAUAACUGACGCUCAUGGACGAAAGCUAGGGGAGCGAAAGGGAUUAGAUACCCCUGUAGUCCUAGCCGUAAACGAUGAACACUAGG